AAGUCGUAACAAGGUUUCCGUAGGUGAACCUGCGGAAGGAUCAUUAAUGAUUAAAACAUGGCUUCCCUGUUGGGGGCUGCCUUUUGGCAACCUCUGGAGGGAAAACCGUAAACCCCAUCUCGUGCAUUCGUUUAGCCGUAGUCGGCGUGAUUCUCUCGGUCCUUCCUUCGGGAAGGGGGCGAGAGUGGCCGGCGCCCCUCGCGGGGCAAACCCAUUCAAUUUCAACUACGAUUCUUGUUUUUUCUUCUUUUUCGGCCGGGCUUUCCAUGUUGGAAGCCGGGUCCGGAGAAAGGAAACCAAAAUCCAAAAACACAACUUUUGGCAACGGAUCUCUAGGCUCUGAC
RNAcentral lists this unclassified non-coding RNA (344 nucleotides) under fungal sp. RNAcentral describes it as "partial internal transcribed spacer region". The stretch from base 1 to 46 matches the Rfam family "Eukaryotic small subunit ribosomal RNA", at positions 1786 to 1831 of the family's 1831-position model. Lineage: Eukaryota; Fungi. The record is from RNAcentral.